RNAcentral lists this long non-coding RNA (2286 nucleotides) under Podarcis muralis (Common wall lizard). RNAcentral's name for it is "lncRNA (ENSPMRG00000002713.1)". The record is from RNAcentral. Lineage: Eukaryota; Metazoa; Chordata; Lepidosauria; Squamata; Lacertidae.
UGACAUUUUCCCAUGGAUUCCGUGCCUAUGCAAAGAAUCCAAAGUUUGGAAAUUGUUUUGAAAUAUUUUGUAACCAUGUUUCCUUGCACAUAUAUGCCCUUUGUUCCUCUGGAUAUCAGAAGACUGUCUUCUUGGCAGCUGAUUUUUUUAUGUACCAGUGAUUUACCAUUUUAAAUUUACCAUAUUAUUUAACCUGAAAUCAAUUUAAUGUUCUAAUUAGAUACACUGGGCGUAGAUUAAUGAAAACCCUAAAAUCACAAAAUCAAGACUGAAUUAUUUUGAUUUUAGUAAAAUCUGCCCAACCCCUAAUUUCAACACCAAAGAUUAGCAUUAGUAUCACAUUUGUUUUUAAAAAUGUUUAAAAUUGGGUGUAAUGACCCUGGAUGUCUGAAAGUCAUCAAUCUGUUUAAAGAUCAUAAAGAGGCAGUUGACUUUAAUUUGUUUAUCUUUAUUUAUAAAUUCCAAGAACCUGAGGCUGAAAAAGAUUAUACUAUGAGAAAUGGGAGCCCUUGAAUCUUUCGCAUUCUUUUUUUCUUUCUUUUAGCAAAUGGUUGCCCGCUUGAAUUUGAAGGCCGGGGAACGCAUUGAAAUCAAAGCCAAGGUGGCCCGAGAAGCCAAAAGGUCUGUAUUAAUAGUGAAAAUGGGAUAUUUACAUUUUCCCCUUGUGGGAGAUUGCAAUCAAAUGCAACUAGCAAACAUAGAGCUAGUUUGUGCAUGAAGGGGUUAAAACAAUAGAACUGUGAUUCCUAGACACAGGUCAUGCCCCUUCUUCUCUGAUGAAGGAGGAAGUGACACCAUCUCUCCCUGUUCCUAUCCCUUUCCUUCCGCCAUGUAAAUCAGCCAGGUCUGGUCUUGAGCAUUUCAAGCACAGAACGCUUGUUCAGAACUGCAAUCUGUAUGUUGUACUCAAGAGUAUUCUAUCUGUGUUCUCUUUGCUGCUGCUUGGAUAAAUGCAUAAACCUGGCCUUUGGAACGGUUUUAUUUACCUUACAUAUAGGCCAGAAUGCCUCGAAUCCGCUCCUUCAAUUUAACGCUCGAUUUAAGACUUUCAACGGAGAUAGGGUCGUCGUUUUUAACUCUGAUAUGGGGAGAGAGCGGGAUCUUCUCUUGGACCUGGAACUAUUCGUCACAGUAGCGUUCUCCUUUAACGCCCAAGAUAUGUUGUUGGAAGUGUUCAACCGGCCAAUUGUUAGACUCCCAACCCCACCGGGAAUGCAAGUGGUGGAGCACCUCGCUGUAACUGGUGAUAUCGACGUUAAGUCCAUCUCAUUCAGCAAUCUCUUUCUUGCCCCUGGAAAUGGUAACUUUUUAAAAUGACGACGUGAUCUUCGAUUCUUCCCGUUAGUUCUUGCGGUGGUUAGUAUGCAAUGUAAGUUUCUUUUAAGAAAGCCGAAGCAGAUUUAGCCAUGUGAAAGACUUGGGAAGUAGCAAUGGGCCGUAUACUUGCUGACUUUUGUUACCACUGUUGCUUUUAUUUUAGAAUAAAGCUGCUCUUCUUACUACUCACUGCCUUGAUUCUUGGAUACAACAAUUCUGUUGGACAACUAUUGCUCAACUUUAAGCAGGUCUUUAAGCAGAGGCUUGACAACCAUAUGUCAGGAGUGCUCUGAUGGUGUUUCCUGCUUGGCAGGGGGUUGGACUCGAUGGCCCUUGUGGUCUCUUCCAACUCUAUGAUUCUAUGAUUCUAUGAUUCUAACUUCCAACAGGUUACAUACGCUUCAGGUUACAUACACUUCAGGUUACACACUCCGCUAACCCAGAUAUAGUGCUUCAGGUUAAGAACUUUGCUUCAGGAUAAGAACAGAAAUCGUGCUCCAGCGGCGCAGCAGCAGCAGGAGGCCCCAAUAGCAAAAGUGGUGCUUCAGGUUAAGAACAGACCUCCAGAAUGAAUUAAGUACUUAACCUGAGGUACCACUGUAUUCCACAAGCUUUGUUUUCCUCUCUAAACGCCAUGCCACCUGGGACAACGCCAUGUUUCUGACGAGGCCAGUGAUAAAAGUUCAGGAUUCAGAAUACAGUGGUACUUCGGUUUACAAACUUAAUCUGUUCCUGAAGUCCAUUCUUAAACCAAAUCUGUUCUUAAACCAAGUAGUGCUUUAUCUAAGGAGGCCUUCCGCCGGCGGUGCCCUUCCACCGUUUGGCUUCCGUUCGCAGACUCAGGCAAAGUUCGCAAACCAGAACACUACUUCUGGUUUUGCAGAGUUCUUAAACUGAAUAGUUUGUAAACAAGACUGUUUAUAAACAGACGUACCACUGUACUUGUAAUGCAAAAGGCUUGAUCUCAGU